Oncorhynchus mykiss (rainbow trout) is the source of this 2694-nucleotide long non-coding RNA. NCBI's taxonomy places the organism in Eukaryota, Metazoa, Chordata, Actinopteri, Salmoniformes, Salmonidae. The record is from Ensembl.
AUCACACACACAUUAAAGCCCAGGUCUUCUCCUAAUGGAGCCGGUGCAGUCUACUGUCACACAGGCUACUGUGGGAAACACACGCAAGUUCAUUAACUAUACAUCAACCAUGUCUUCUCUCCAGGUGUCAUCCAAGUAGGAGAGAAGGAGCUGGAGUCCUAGGAGUAAGGCAGUUAUAAGGGAUGCACUUUAGGGUGAUCAAUCUUUUUAGAAAUCAAUGAUUAUGACGAGAGGUAAUAAAUGACCACAGGUCUAAGUGUAUGUGUUUUUGAUCAGUGGGGGAAGGUUGCAAAAAUUAACUAUGAACUCAAGCUGCUUUCCAAUUCUCUGGAGUGUGAGGGUCAUCACUACAAUAAUAGGAAGUACAUCCACAGCCUAAUAUUACAUGUCCCUGUUUGUAUGACCUGGGUGAAGGACAACAAUUUGGAGUUAGAGCAAGAGAGAUGAUACCACAUCUCUCCAAAACAGGAUUAAAGUGUAGAGGAAAGAGCUGACAGUGUAGUGGAGUGAAGAUGCUGUGAUGGUUGUGUGAGGCGAAGUAGGAGGAGGGUUUUUACAACUAGUGUUUAGAAUAGGAUCCAUUGGAGGGGAGUUGGUCAGUGUUUUUCUGGUGGAGGGGGAUUGAUGUUGAGAGGAACUUGAGUGGGGUUUGAAGGAUGUGGGAGGAGAUUAGGUUGAUUGGUAAGCCAAGCGUGAGGUGAGCCUUGAUUAGGGAUGGAUGUUAACCUAAUGAUUCUAUUUAACCCGGCUUAGCACCUGUCAAUUCUAGUCUGCAAUUGAUUUAAUUCACAGUGGAAACCGUUCCUAACAAUUUAAUUAAUCUGGUCCAACCACUUUGCAAUUACCUGGUUUGCCAUCUCACAAUAAUAUGUCUUACGAGUUUUAGUCACUGUCUGCUUACAUUUUAAGAAUGACAUCAAAUGUUUUUUAUUUUCUCCUGUCUCCCUGCAGGAUUGAUCUACCUCCAACACACAAGCCGCCUCCUCCAUACACAGAGAGACCCCCAGCCAUCCCUCUGGCUGUCCAUGCACCACAGGUGGCCUCCCUGUCACAGGCUCGCAGGGCUGAUCGCCGGUUUGAGAUGGCAGAGAGAACACCCACCAGGCUCGCGCACCAGGAACCCCGAAGCCCCUCCCAUCAGCCACUGUCUUAUCAGGAAUGGGUGUGUCACCAGCAUGGGACGGACCGCAUCUUCAUCAACCACCGGGAAAACUAUGUGUGACAGACACACCUUGAGCCCUUCUAUGGACCUGUCACUCACCCCGUCCCCACCCAUGCUCACAGAGGACAUCCUUUACAAUGUGAAGAACACAGGCAAAAAAACAGCUCAUGAUUUGAUCAAGCCUUCACAGAUGUGUCUACUCCACAUUUAAACUCAUUUGAGAGCAGCAGUUAUCAGCUGUAAGAAACAAGACUAAUGAGGCCGAAGCAUAAACUGCUGAGUUUCUUGAAGGAACACAUCCAUACACCCCCUCCACUCCACAACCAUAAACCACUACACACCCUUUCUGUUCCCAACCACAUUAAUAAACAGAGCAUAACAGUAGGGGGAAUGGGAGGAAACCGACUUGGUACAGUACGACAAAAUAGAUAUUUAAAACAACUCACUAAUCUCUGUUGUGUACUAUAUAUAUAUAGGAGUGGAAUAAUAUGAAAACACCAUACUAAUAUUUAACAUGUAUAGGAAUUAAAUAAGUUACUAUGUCACUGUAGCUAUAGGGAUAUUGUAAUUAUGUGAUAAUCCUGUGUUCAGUUAUGCUUUUUGAAUUAGAUUUAAACCUAAUUAAAACAUUUUAUAUAAUCCCACAGCACCCCUAACACUUGUACUUGACUUGUUCCCCCCUAAUAGCACUGACUUUGCUGAUAGCUCCUUUAGUGAGGAAAAAUGUACUGACGAUGACUGAGAUAUGUGGUAGCUAUCUUAAGAUGAAUGCACUAACUGUAAGUCACUUGAUAAGAGCGCCUGCUAAACUACUAAAAUAAAUGUAAUCAUUAUUUAUAUAAUUGUGGUAUUAAAUAUCAGACAUAUCUCAAAAUGGUUCUGGUAAACACGCAGCCAAUUUAGUAGGAUUCUAACUUUCUGGUAUAAGAACAAAGAUGGCAACAUUGUCUGAAGCAGGUUCUGGGUGCCCGUUUCGUCUUCUGCCCUAUCGCUACACAGGUGAUUUAGAUAAUCAACUUGUCAUCAAGCUCGGAUGAUUUGAAUCAGCUGUAUAGUGUAAGGGGAAAAUAACUAAAAGUACACCCAGGGCGGGCCCCAGUACCGAGUUUGGAAAAUCCUGGUCUGAAGGACCAGGCACCAGUGUUACAUCAGGAUCAAGUAUUUCAUUGAGUAGGCUAUAUCAGAUAGUAACAUAUAAUGUAAAUUCGCUGUAUACAAAUGUUCAGAACUAAAAUGUUCAGAAAAUAUAAAUGUGGUGUAGUUCUAGUGUUUUGAGAAGUCAACUGAAUCAUAUAAAAUAUUUACUUCCGUACAUGAAAUUUAAACAUGAAUCGUUCUUUCGUCAGUGAGAAAAUCAUAUUUAGUUUUUUUUCAUUGCAAGUUUGUAGUUUUUGAAAUUUUCUUGUGCCAUGUUAAUAUUUGAAGGGGGAUUUUUUUCCACUAUAUAUAUGAUCCGUUUUUAAAAUUGUAAUUCUUACAUUGUGACUAGUUAAAUAUAUGCAGUGUUUUCUUUUUUUAUAUAUAUUAAACAU